CAGUAGCGCGAUUCUGUAACUCGUUAUGCUGUCGUUAUGGACUCAUAACGACAAGUUUCGUUAUGCUACCGACCGCGUCGCUAUUAUAACGACAAAUGCGAUUCUGUACACUAUUCUUAGCGAGUUUUGUCGUUAUUAGUAACGAAAAGUGUCGUUAUGAUGUCGUUACGGUGCGAGCGGAUAGCGAGGCUCAGAGACCCCCUCGGUACGCUAUAACGACCAUUAUAACGACACUUUGCACACGAGCUAGAGGAGUGGUGUGCGUUUCCCAUAUUUUUCUCGACUCCGAGAAAGUGCUUCGAAAAGUGCUCCGAAAGUGAAAAAUAAUUACGACGUUUGAAAUAACAAGAUCAUGGCUAUCGAAUACCUUGCUUGGGAUGUAUUCGUUCUUGAGGAAAGAUUACGUCGACUCGAACGUCGUGUGGAAAGAAGGCGACUGAGAGAUGCUCAGAAUCCUUUUCAGCUACCACGAGAAGAGUUUCUCAGCCUUUUUCGCCUGCCUCAAGAAGCUGUGAUGAAUCUUGGUCAACACCUCAGCAAAGCAGCAUAGGUGAUGCUCGAUAUCCGUUGGAGCCUUGGCUGUUAACACCUCUGGCCAAUUUUCCUGAAGAUACGCGACAACAUCAAUAUACACAACAACUAUGUAAGGCUAGAAGCGUCGUCGAGCGGUUUUUUGGAGUUUUUAAAUCUGUAUGGAGAUGCUUGUCAUACCAGCGAGUCUUGAUGUACAAACCAGCGUUCGCAGCGAAAAUUGUUAAUGCGUGUGCAGUACUGCACAACAUGAGAGUGCAACUACGAUUAAACAAUGAAGAUGACGAACAACUAGCACCGAUAGCUCAUCCCGUAGAGAAUGAUGUUGAUCCGAUGGCUCAACGAAUUCAACAACAAAUUAUGAGAGAAAGAUUUCCCAACUUCCGUGAUGCGGAUGAAUAGAAUACAGAAUAUGGAAUGAUGUUUAUGGUUAAAUUGCCAACAAGUAUAAUGUUCAAAGGUGAUGAGAGAAAUUAACGACAACAGAGUCAGGGCGGUGUUACGCUCCGACGUACUGCCUUGGCGUACCUUUUUCAAAAUUCCAUGUCAUUUCAUUUCUUUAAUAUCUUCAAUGCACAGAUAUUAUUUCAUCAAAAUCUCAUAGGCUCAUAGGAGUAAGGCUGCGGUCAAGCAUCUCUAUACGCCAGGUUCGAUUCCUGGCUCCGUCGUUAAUUUUUCAAAAUCACCAAUUUUUCGAGUUUACAUUCCUUCAACUAUAAUGUUUACAAUUGAUUGUACAUAAAGAAAUAUUCAAUUGUGUUUUUAAAGUAUAACUUUAUUUUAUAAAAAAUAUUCACCUUUUUUAACCUGAACAAAAAAUAAAAACGCGAAAAAUCUUUAUUCUAAA
Molecule: long non-coding RNA, 1378 nt
Filed under: Neodiprion pinetum (white pine sawfly)
Lineage: Eukaryota; Metazoa; Arthropoda; Insecta; Hymenoptera; Diprionidae
Description: uncharacterized LOC124210643
Source: RNAcentral